AAUAAAGUGCCUGAUUAAAGGAUUAUUCUGAUAGGAUAAAUUAAGUAGUAUCUCUACCUUUAUUA
RNAcentral lists this transfer RNA (65 nucleotides) under Antheraea assamensis (Indian muga silkmoth). Its description in RNAcentral is "tRNA-Ile". Lineage: Eukaryota; Metazoa; Arthropoda; Insecta; Lepidoptera; Saturniidae. The record is from RNAcentral.